UUCGUAGGCGGUGUGGCAAGUUGGGAGUGAAAUCUCUGGGCUCAACCCAGAGGCUGCUUCCAAAACUGCCAUGCUUGAGUGUGGGAGAGGCGCGUGGAAUUGCAGGUGUAGCGGUGAAAUGCGUAGAUAUCUGCAGGAACACCCGUGGCGAAAGCGGCGCGCUGGACCACUACUGACGCUGAGGAACGAAAGCUAGGGGAGCAAACA
Molecule: ribosomal RNA, 207 nt
Filed under: uncultured bacterium
Lineage: Bacteria
Description: partial 16S ribosomal RNA
Rfam family: Bacterial small subunit ribosomal RNA
Source: RNAcentral